Molecule: long non-coding RNA, 570 nt
Organism: Conger conger (European conger)
Lineage: Eukaryota; Metazoa; Chordata; Actinopteri; Anguilliformes; Congridae
Exons: 4
Source: RefSeq, a predicted model, not a curated record
CCUACUUUUUACUGGUAACGUGAAUCCUGGUUGAUUCUCUGAUUGUAUCUUCUUGCAGUUUCAUGCUGUUGCAGAAAAACCAUGACCUAUAAACUCUCAUCCUUUAGGGUCUCCUGAGAAUUAUUUGCUUCAUUGGCUGUCAAAUUAGAGAGAUUUUAGCUAUGUUUUGCAUCACUAUUUUGCCUGCUUCAGGGCUUGAGGGCCUAUCCUUGCAAAACCUAUUGGUGAGCCCCAAUGAUGGCCCUGCCCUGCACGUCUUUUGAAUGGGUCCUCAUAUUGGUCUUAAAACCUGUUUUCAGUGUGUCAGGGGAAAAUACCCUUUUUAACUUUCCACAGUUCCCUCUUGCUGUGUUCAAACUGAGCUGAGGUUUUUGUACGGGGGUGUGCAUCAUCUGUAUCACUGUGAUAUUCGGCCAAGGCACUAAACUGAUUGUCACUGACUCUUCUCUUGCUGCGCCUACACUCUCUCUCCUGCCUCCGUCCAGCGAGGAGCUGAAGACAGGCAAAGCCACGCUGGUGUGCCUGGCGCAGAUGUCUGUUGGCUUCGCAGAUGUCAGCUGGACAUCGGGG